GACGAACGCUGGCGGCGUGCCUAAUACAUGCAAGUAGAACGCUGAAGGAGGAGCUUGCUUCUCUGGAUGAGUUGCGAACGGGUGAGUAACGCGUAGGUAACCUGCCUGGUAGCGGGGGAUAACUAUUGGAAACGAUAGCUAAUACCGCAUAAUAGUAGAUGUUGCAUGACAUUUGCUUAAAAGGUGCAAUUGCAUCACUACCAGAUGGACCUGCGUUGUAUUAGCUAGUUGGUGGGGUAACGGCUCACCAAGGCGACGAUACAUAGCCGACCUGAGAGGGGGCUCGGCCACACUGGGACUGAGACACGGCCCAGACUCCUACGGGAGGCAGCAGUAGGGAAUCUUCGGCAAUGGACGGAAGUCUGACCGAGCAACGCCGCGUGAGUGAAGAAGGUUUUCGGAUCGUAAAGCUCUGUUGUAAGAGAAGAACGAGUGUGAGAGUGGAAAGUUCACACUGUGACGGUAUCUUACCAGAAAGGGACGGCUAACUACGUG
RNAcentral lists this ribosomal RNA (495 nucleotides) under uncultured bacterium. RNAcentral's name for it is "partial 16S ribosomal RNA". It matches the Rfam family "Bacterial small subunit ribosomal RNA", at positions 28 to 507 of the family's 1533-position model. The record is from RNAcentral.